This 440-nucleotide ribosomal RNA is filed under the name uncultured bacterium. Its description in RNAcentral is "partial 16S ribosomal RNA". It matches the Rfam family "Bacterial small subunit ribosomal RNA", at positions 338 to 795 of the family's 1533-position model. The record is from RNAcentral.
CCUACGGGUGGCAGCAGUGGGGAAUAUUGCACAAUGGGGGAAACCCUGAUGCAGCGACGCCGCGUGAGUGAAGAAGUAUUUCGGUAUGUAAAGCUCUAUCAGCAGGGAAGAAAAUGACGGUACCUGAGUAAGAAGCCCCGGCUAACUACGUGCCAGCAGCUGCGGUAAUACGUAGGGGGCAAGCGUUAUCCGGAUUUACUGGGUGUAAAGGGAGCGUAGACGGCUGUGCAAGUCUGGAGUGAAAGGCGGGGGCUUAACCCCCGGACUGCUUUGGAAACUGUGAGGCUGGAGUGCAGGAGAGGUAAGUGGAAUUCCUAGUGUAGCGGUGAAAUGCGUAGAUAUUAGGAGGAACACCAGUGGCGAAGGCGGCUUACUGGACUGUAACUGACGUUGAGGCUCGAAAGCGUGGGGAGCAAACAGGAGUAGAUACCCUAGUAGUC